This 3170-nucleotide long non-coding RNA is filed under the name Mus musculus (house mouse). RNAcentral describes it as "long non-coding RNA chr9:118816237-118819407". The record is from RNAcentral. Lineage: Eukaryota; Metazoa; Chordata; Mammalia; Rodentia; Muridae.
AGACACAGAUCCACUAGAUCUAAUGUAUAACUCAGGCCUACGUGACCCCUGGUGUUCAUCCAAAGGUGUCCAUGUCAAUGCAUCACAGGGAUAGCGUAUCCAUGUUUACUGCAACACUGUUCAUAACAGACAAGAUGCUGAGCCAGCCUAGCUGUCCAGCAAGAGAGAAAAAGAUAGAGAAAAUGUGGUUUUUAUACACAACGGAAUGCUUUUCAGCCAUAGGAAUGAAGUCAUGUCAUUUGCAAGAAACUGGAUGCAACUGGAAACAAUAAUAUUAAGCAAAUUAAGCCAAUAUGGAAAAAAGCUUCUCUCUGGAUUGUGAUUCCUAUGGGUUUUUUUUUCCUUCUUAUAUCUCUUUAUUUUUUUUUAAAUCUUAAACUCCAGAUUUUAUUCCCCUCCCAUGUUCCUAUGUUUUAUAUAGUCACAGGGAAUGAGGUAUGUAUAUAUUAAAUAAAAGGGGAAGUGAGAUUGUCAAAGGGAACAAAGGGGCUGAGGGUAGGAAAAUGGGGGAAAUGCAGAGAAUGUUCAACAAAUGCAUGGAAGAAAUCUAAAUGUAAAAUAAUGGUCUUUGCAAUGGAGACCUUGUAGCAGCUUAGCGUGCCAUCAGGAAGCAGUGACAUAUGUUUUGAUAGUGGGCACAAAGUUAAGGUGUGCAUAUGCUAGAAACAUACAAGAAAUCUGAAACUGAGAGAGAGUUUUGGGACUCCAGAUAAAACUCCCAGGACCCACUUAAGGUAGACAAGGUGGGGCUAGGGAUGUGGUAGUGUAUGUGUGUGUGGGUGAGCACGCGUCCAUGCUCAUAUACAUUUCCCCGUGUGUGUGUGUGUGUGUGUGUGUGUGUGUGCGCGCGCGCGCGUGUGUGUGCAGAUACAGAAGCCUAUACAGAACCCUGAGGUUGGUGACAGCAUUCUCCCUCCACCUUGCCCAUUGAGUCAGGGUCUCCCAAUUGAACCCAAUGCUCAUGGAUGUGGAUAAUCUAACUAAUUAUCCUGCUCCAAGGAUCCUGUCUCUGCCUUCUGAGAACUAGAAUUACAGAGGGCCGACACACCCACCCUGCACUAAACCCAAGCCCUCGUGCUCCCUCCCGAGGCAUUUCCUCUAUGCAGUGAAGCAUCCCCCAAUCCCGCAUUGCUCCUUUAUUUUUCGGUAAUACCUGUGACUCUUUAGAGGACUGACUAACCUCAGGCUGACGGAGCUCAUUUAGCCGUGGUCAUAAACAGCCACACGUGCCAGGACCUGACAGCAACCUCAGGCUGCUGGUGCUGAGGCAGCAAAGCCCAGCACACAAUGCAGGCAAUCACCGAGGUGCCGUCUCGCUCUGGGAUUUGUAACACACACACACACACACACACACACACACACACACUGUAUCCUCCCUCCUUUUUACGACUGUCCUUCCUGGAGACAUUUCAUACAGGUUAGGUUUCUUCAUUCAUUUGCUUGUCUUUUGUGUGGGUCUUUGGUUCUUUAUGACUCCCAUGUCAGAGUCGGCUUCUGAGUACCCGAGCCUAAAGCACAUCUCUCUCCCCAGGCUUAUUUUAUUCCAACAGACGCAUCGAAAAACCUGACCAAUCAAAAUGGCUUUGGGGGCGGGAGAGGGGAGUAGGUUGUGUGUGACUUCAAUUUUUCCCCCCAAAUGAUGCUAUUUGGUGUGUUUCGCCUUUGUACUAUGGCCUGGAGGUCUGGAAGUCUAACCUGUUGAUAUUUAGCCUGUGAGGUUUGACAAGAACCCAAUCUGGUUAAGUCUGAAGUUUUUGAUCAAUUAUUGCUUUCUUUUCUCACAAACUGUUUAUACUUGAAAUAGUGCUGUGUUUGUGCAACCUUUCUUUUGAGCUUUUAAGGAAACAAACUCUGUUUUUAAAAUUUCACCCCCUGAGCAUAAGGACUGAAAUACGCCGCUGCUAUAAUUUCUAACGCUUUGCUCCGUGUGUUUGUCUCCGUAAUCAUAAGCAAGACGCAUCUCCCAGUUUCCUCUGCUGUGUGAUCUUUGUCAGGUUUGGAUAUUGGACGUUUGCUAGAAUUUUUCUAAAAUAAACAGAGAGCCUGCAUUCUUUCUGGUAGUCUGAAGGCGUGUAGCUGAUAUGGCUUCAACACUGGGCAAUGGGAAAGACAGCCUUACUGGGUGCUCAGUUUUAUGCUACACACUUCGCUCGGCACUAGUUUUGUGGGUUUUUUUUUUUAACACGUUUCAGCCCCACAAUAACUCAUGUCCACUUGUGAGCUUUGUUUUCCUGAGGAGGAAACCAAGGCUUAAAGCAAGGCACAGCUGCCAAAACUGGGUACUGGGAUCCAGGCACUGAGGAGCUGACUUCAGAGGUCUCUGAUGCAUCUUCUUUGCAUAAAGAGGCUAAUUUGCAUGUCUGAUGGUCCUGCUGGCUGCCCACCUGGCUUGUAGCAGUUACCCUCUGGAGAGCCAGGUGCUUAGUGAAUGACAUCUUUCAGAUUACGUCAUCCCCCAUUUUCCUUGUGUAGGGGGUAGCAGACAGGAAGCACUGAUGAAUUUUCUGGGGCAGCUGUGUUUUGUCUAAACAAGACUCUCUUUAGUAUCCUGGGGGGUACUGGCACAGAGACCUAACCCCUACCAGGCUCCCACUAGAAGAAGCUUUCCUGUGGUGCCCAUGUGUUGCUGCGCUGGAUUCUGGGAGCUGGCACGACUUCCCUGCCUUUUUAAAUGUCUUCUCUGGAACUGAUUUGUCCCAAGGUGAACUCAGCGAAAGGAAUAUCACACUUAAGAGCUUUGCCCCUGAAUGGGCCAGGAAGGUGGAAAAACCACACACACUGUCCAUUUUCCCUUCUGCCCGUUGAGUUCUAAACAGCUGGAAAAAGUCCUAAGAGGUAGAGUCACUCAGCCCUUCGCGUGUCAGACGCUCGACUGCCUUGCUCUAUCCCCAAGCCAUCCAUCAUUUUCCCAACUCGGGUCCAAAUAUUGUUAGGGAAAAGAAAAAAAAAAAAAGCCCCUAGCUGUAUGCCCAAGUCACCUGUAAGAGGCUAGUGGCACACCAGGAACAUAGGUGCCUGAUGACAUGGAUCAUGUGACAAGCAGAGUCCUAUUACUGAUACGUAACAGCAUCUGGGGGCUCUGCUAGUGAUAGACAACAGGGAUUCCCAUAGGAUAGAAACUCAUGCUUCCUGUGCAUAGGAAUAUAUACCCAAUAGUCAAAAGCAGUUCC